RNAcentral lists this ribosomal RNA (465 nucleotides) under Vreelandella stevensii. RNAcentral describes it as "partial 16S ribosomal RNA". It matches the Rfam family "Bacterial small subunit ribosomal RNA", at positions 338 to 795 of the family's 1533-position model. The record is from RNAcentral. Lineage: Bacteria; Pseudomonadati; Pseudomonadota; Gammaproteobacteria; Oceanospirillales; Halomonadaceae.
CCUACGGGGGGCAGCAGUGGGGAAUAUUGGACAAUGGGGGGAACCCUGAUCCAGCCAUGCCGCGUGUGUGAAGAAGGCCCUCGGGUUGUAAAGCACUUUCAGUGAGGAAGAACGCCUGUUGGUUAAUACCCAUCAGGAAAGACAUCACUCACAGAAGAAGCACCGGCUAACUCCGUGCCAGCAGCCGCGGUAAUACGGAGGGUGCGAGCGUUAAUCGGAAUUACUGGGCGUAAAGCGCGCGUAGGUGGCUUGAUAAGCCGGUUGUGAAAGCCCCGGGCUCAACCUGGGAACGGCAUCCGGAACUGUCCAGCUUGAGUGCAGGAGAGGAAGGUAGAAUUCCCGGUGUAGCGGUGAAAUGCGUAGAGAUCGGGCGGGAUACCAGUGGCGAAGGCGGUCUUCUGCACUGUCACUGACACUGAGGUGCGAAAGCGUGGGUAGCAAACAGGAUUAGAUACCCGAGUAGUA